AACGAGAAACACCUGGGGAAACAAUCAAGGAACGAGAAACACCUGGGGAAACAAUCAGGGAGAACCAAUCAUGAAAUAAAACUACAAAGGACUACAAAACUAACACAGGAAACAGGAACGGGGAACUAAACAAGAAUUUCAACAUAAAAGUCUAGACAAAAACAGGGAAUACAUGACAAUCAAAUUCAAAGAAUCUGCAACCAAGUACUAAAUAUGAUCAUUUUAUUUAGGUUUAUAGGAACUUGUGCAAUACAUUUUGGUCCUCUGAAAUUGGCAGUCUGUCAAAUAGCUAUAAUUACUACAUGGUUCACUUGAUACAUCUGAAAAUACCCAAGAGUUUGCACUUGAAGUCCAUAGUCAUUAUUUAAUUUCAGAUUCAAUGUACUGGACAGAAUUCAUGCCAGUGUCCAAAUAUGUAUGGACCUAACUGUAGGUGUGUACUCUCACUUUUAUAAUCUCUACCUCAUUAAAAUCUUUGGAAAACAUUGGCUUUCGAUGUGUAUUUAAUCUAUGUCCUUCAAUGUAUUAACUUUAACAUAGUUUCAUCUUUCUUUACUACUCCCAGUUCUCUCCAGCAGCAACAGGCUCGACUCGACCUGAAACCCGGUGUCUGCUACCAGUGGUGGAAUGAGGUCGAAUGAGUUUCUAUGAAGAUUGCCCGGCAUGAAGCAGAGCCCAAGGGGUAGUGUUGGGGAGUAACGGAAUACAUCACACAUGAUGCGAAGUCGAUGCAGUCAGGAGAAGCGGUUGAUCCAUGGUCACUGUGGCAAUGACUGAAGCCGAGGAGGGUGGCACCUUGAAAGCAAGUGGAGGUGCAAAAAUAACAGGGGGUAUGGUGAUUUAUCCUAUCAGGUGCAUGUGAGCUCCAUGGGGACAGUGUCAUUGACCUUAGCCGAGGUGGGUGGCACCUCUCGGCAUGAAUCAGAGACCAAGGGGCCUGGAAGAAUGAGCAGAACUGGUAAAAUAACUAAGUCGAUGCAGUCGGGAGGAGUGGUUGAUCCAUGGUCACCGUUGCAGUGACUUUCUAUGAAGAUUGCCCAUUCAAGGACAAACUUAUCUACCCUUUCCCUAGAUAUAUUAUAUAAUAAAAUGUUUUGUUGA
Molecule: long non-coding RNA, 1101 nt
Organism: Myxocyprinus asiaticus (Chinese sucker)
Lineage: Eukaryota; Metazoa; Chordata; Actinopteri; Cypriniformes; Catostomidae
Exons: 3
Source: RefSeq, a predicted model, not a curated record